This 262-nucleotide ribosomal RNA is filed under the name uncultured bacterium. RNAcentral's name for it is "partial 16S ribosomal RNA". It matches the Rfam family "Bacterial small subunit ribosomal RNA", at positions 521 to 782 of the family's 1533-position model. The record is from RNAcentral.
UAAUACGAAGGGUGCAAGCGUUACUCGGAAUUACUGGGCGUAAAGCGUGCGUAGGUGGUUCGUUAAGUCUGAUGUGAAAGCCCUGGGCUCAACCUGGGAAUGGCAUUGGAAACUGGCGACCUAGAGUGCGGUAGAGGGUAGUGGAAUUCCCGGUGUAGCAGUGAAAUGCGUAGAGAUCGGGAGGAACAUCCGUGGCGAAGGCGACUACCUGGACCAGCACUGACACUGAGGCACGAAAGCGUGGGGAGCAAACAGGAUUAGA